AUGAACUCGUGGUUGCGGAGCUCGCGUCGUCUCCUGCCGGCAGCCGCCCGUCUUCUACGGCCUCCACAUCACAACAUCUCGCGGUUACAUGCUAUUGGAGGUCAGCUCUUCCGACGGCCGUCUACGGUUGUUCUCGUUCCUCGGGACUACUGCACCGCCCUGAGAAGGCAUGUGCCUGGCCACUUGGCUCCCUGCGGGUACUCCCACACUCCGCACAAGGUCGCGGCAGCUCUAACUUCUCGUUGCGGCACAAAGAUCACCGUCAACCGUGGAUUCCACGUCCAUGUCGAUACUGUGCCCUACAUCAACCGCAGACACGUGGUCCUUGGUUCUCGCCGUGAAGCAGGUGAGUGGGGCGAAGACUACUUCGCGGAGUUCAAAGCGGAGCAUGCCUCCAAGAUCGUCGACCCUCUAAACCGUGACUGCGUCCGCGUCCGCGAAAUUGGCUUGAAGAUCAUUCACGCCAUCCAUAGUAGCAGCAACAGGAUAGCACGAGGAGGACUGUCACAUUCACAGAUAAUAAAGAGUAUGGAAUGGGUGGACGAGCUUAAUUGGGAGAUGAUAGUCGUCGAAGAUGAGGACAUCCAUAGAGGAUCAAGCCACGGCGGUGGAAAGAUUGUAGUCUCCACUGGGUUCCUCAAAGAGUUCAGCACGGAUACAGAGAUUGCCGUUAUGCUCGGGCAUGAGGUUGCACAUGUUGUUGCAAGGCACACGGUAGAGUUGAUCAGGAUAUUCAUGGCGUUCAACCAGUUUCCGACCCACCUUCUCGCCGCGCCGUUCUUACGAAGGAAUGAGAGAGAGGCGGAUUACAUUGGAAUGUUGCUACUCGCUGCUGCUGGUUUCGAUCCCCAUGCUGCCCCUCUGUUCUAUGAAAAGCUUGGCAAGAUAGCUGGAGAGACGGCAUUGCUACGUACGCUCACUUUCUUCUCAUGCAAAGUCCACCCAUCCUUUAAGGAAAGGUCAUGGCUUUUAUCGCAACCCAAGGUCAUGGAGGAGGCGAUGGAAUUUUAUAGGGAAGCAAUCAGUGACGAUGGCCAAGGUUAUGACAAGGACGAUUUAGGUAGUUCCCCUUGA
This 1074-nucleotide ribosomal RNA is filed under the name Triticum aestivum (bread wheat). RNAcentral's name for it is "partial small subunit ribosomal RNA". Lineage: Eukaryota; Viridiplantae; Streptophyta; Magnoliopsida; Poales; Poaceae. The record is from RNAcentral.